UUCACUGCCUGCUCCACUGAACCAUUGGGGAAACAGGAAGUUGUGUUGUCUUCGGGAGGAUGGACCACAUGAAUCCGGCGGCCGCUGACACCGAGACACAUGAGCGUCUCCGUGCAGGUCUCGCUCAAAGCCCUGUCCAUGGUGCUGAAGCACAGCCAGCGCCGCACGACAUGGAUGUUUUCAACCGCAACAGGAUUUCUGCCAAAACUAUUAUCAGGCCGGUGCAGAGGAUCAGAUAGUCAUACUUCACUUUACCGUCCUCCAUCAGCUCCACGUGUUUGGCCUCGCGGUCAAUGGCCUUCAUCUUACCCUUCACCACGCUGAUCCAGGAGCGCAGAGAGAGCCGG
Molecule: long non-coding RNA, 347 nt
Organism: Puntigrus tetrazona (Sumatra barb)
Lineage: Eukaryota; Metazoa; Chordata; Actinopteri; Cypriniformes; Cyprinidae
Exons: 3
Source: RefSeq, a predicted model, not a curated record